AGGACGAACGCUGGCGGCGUGCUUAACACAUGCAAGUCGAGCGGUAAGGCCCUUCGGGGUACACGAGCGGCGAACGGGUGAGUAACACGUGGGUAAUCUGCCCUGUACUUUGGGAUAAGCCCGGGAAACUGGGUCUAAUACCGGAUAUGACCUUGUCACGCAUGUGGUGGGGUGGAAAGUUCCGGCGGUACAGGAUGGGCCCGCGGCCUAUCAGCUUGUUGGUGGGGUAAUGGCCUACCAAGGCGACGACGGGUAG
RNAcentral lists this ribosomal RNA (256 nucleotides) under uncultured bacterium. RNAcentral describes it as "partial small subunit ribosomal RNA". It matches the Rfam family "Bacterial small subunit ribosomal RNA", at positions 26 to 286 of the family's 1533-position model. The record is from RNAcentral.